CUUGGUCAGGACGAACGCUGGCGGCGUGCCUAAUACAUGCAAGUCGAACGGUCUUUCUAUGGAAGCUUGCUUCCACUGAGAAGAUAGUGGCGAACGGGUGAGUAACACGUGGGUAACCUGCCCAUAAGAGGGGGAUAACAUCCGGAAACGGGUGCUAAUACCGCAUAGUUUUCUUGAUCGCAUGAUCGGGAAAGGAAAGACGGCCUUUGUGCUGUCGCUUAUGGAUGGACCCGCGGCGUAUUAGUUAGUUGGUGAGGUAAUGGCUCACCAAGACGAUGAUACGUAGCCGACCUGAGAGGGUGAUCGGCCACAUUGGGACUGAGACACGGCCCAAACUCCUACGGGAGGCAGCAGUAGGGAAUCUUCCGCAAUGGACGAAAGUCUGACGGAGCAACGCCGCGUGAGUGAAGAAAAGGGUUUUCGGAUCGUAAAACUCUGUUGUCAGAGAAGAACAAGUUGGAGAGUAACUGCUCCAGCCUUGACGGUAUCUGACCAGAAAGCCACGGCUAACUACGUGCCAGCAGCCGC
RNAcentral lists this ribosomal RNA (528 nucleotides) under uncultured bacterium. Its description in RNAcentral is "bacterial SSU rRNA". It matches the Rfam family "Bacterial small subunit ribosomal RNA", at positions 19 to 518 of the family's 1533-position model. The record is from RNAcentral.